Molecule: ribosomal RNA, 390 nt
Filed under: uncultured bacterium
Lineage: Bacteria
Description: bacterial SSU rRNA
Rfam family: Bacterial small subunit ribosomal RNA
Source: RNAcentral
AAUCAACGCUGGCGGCGUGCCUAACACAUGCAAGUCGAACGCGAAAAGGGCUUCGGCCCUGAGUAGAGUGGCGUCCGGGUGAGUAACGCGUGGGUAAUCUACCCUCGGGUGGGGAAUAACUAGUCGAAAGAUUAGCUAAUACCGCAUAAUGCAGCGGCUCGACAUCGAGACAGUUGUUAAAGCAGAAAUGCGCCUGAGGAGGAGCCUGCGUCUGAUUAGCUAGUUGGUGAGGUAAUGGCUCACCAAGGCUGCGAUCAGUAGCUGGUCUGAGAGGACGGCCAGCCACAAUGGCACUGAAACACGGGCCAUACUCCUACGGGAGGCAGCAGUGGGGAAUAUUGGACAAUGGGGGCGAACCCUGAUCCAGCCAUGCCGCGUGUGUGAAGAAGG